Molecule: ribosomal RNA, 254 nt
Filed under: uncultured bacterium
Lineage: Bacteria
Description: partial 16S ribosomal RNA
Rfam family: Bacterial small subunit ribosomal RNA
Source: RNAcentral
UACGUAGGGGGCGAGCGUUGUCCGGAUUUAUUGGGCGUAAAAGGCUUGUAGGUGGCCACGCCAAGUCGGAUGUGAAAUCUCCCGGCUCAACUGGGAGGGGUCAUUCGAUACUGGCGGGCUCGAGGCAGGUAGGGGGAAGCGGAAUUCCCGGUGUAGUGGUGGAAUGCGUAGAUAUUGGGAGGAACACCAGUGGCGAAGGCGGCUACCUGGACCGGUUCUGACGCUGAUGCGCGAAAGCGUGGGUAGCAAACAGG